UACGAGGGGGGCAAGCGUUGUUCGGAAUUAUUGGGCGUAAAGGGUGCGUAGGUGGUUCGGCAAGUCUUGUGUGAAAUCUUCAGGCUCAACUUGAAGUCUGCACAAGAAACUGCCGGGCUUGAGUAUGGGAGAGGUGAGUGGAAUUUCCGGUGUAGCGGUGAAAUGCGUAGAUAUCGGAAGGAACACCUGUGGCGAAAGCGGCUCACUGGACCAUUACUGACACUGAGGCACGAAAGCUAGG
This 241-nucleotide ribosomal RNA is filed under the name uncultured bacterium. Its description in RNAcentral is "partial 16S ribosomal RNA". It matches the Rfam family "Bacterial small subunit ribosomal RNA", at positions 524 to 764 of the family's 1533-position model. The record is from RNAcentral.